GGGGGCGUAGCUCAGUUGGUUAGAGCGUCGGCCUGUCACGCCGAAGGUCGCGAGUUCAAGUCUCGUCGCUCCCGCCA
Molecule: transfer RNA, 77 nt
Filed under: Candidatus Fokinia solitaria
Lineage: Bacteria; Pseudomonadati; Pseudomonadota; Alphaproteobacteria; Rickettsiales; Candidatus Midichloriaceae
Description: tRNA-Asp
Rfam family: tRNA
About the family: Transfer RNA (tRNA) molecules are approximately 80 nucleotides in length. Their secondary structure includes four short double-helical elements and three loops (D, anti-codon, and T loops). Further hydrogen bonds mediate the characteristic L-shaped molecular structure. tRNAs have two regions of fundamental functional importance: the anti-codon, which is responsible for specific mRNA codon recognition, and the 3' end, to which the tRNAs corresponding amino acid is attached (by aminoacyl-tRNA synthetases). tRNAs cope with the degeneracy of the genetic code in two manners: having more than one tRNA (with a specific anti-codon) for a particular amino acid; and 'wobble' base-pairing, i.e. permitting non-standard base-pairing at the 3rd anti-codon position.
Source: RNAcentral